RNAcentral lists this ribosomal RNA (894 nucleotides) under Weissella cibaria. RNAcentral describes it as "bacterial SSU rRNA". It matches the Rfam family "Bacterial small subunit ribosomal RNA", at positions 39 to 891 of the family's 1533-position model. Lineage: Bacteria; Bacillati; Bacillota; Bacilli; Lactobacillales; Lactobacillaceae. The record is from RNAcentral.
GGAGUGGGGCUAACUGCAGUCGAACGCUUUGUGGUUCACUGAUUUGAAGAGCUUGCUCAGAUAUGACGAUGGACAUUGCAAAGAGUGGCGAACGGGUGAGUAACACGUGGGAAACCUACCUCUUAGCAGGGGAUAACAUUUGGAAACAGAUGCUAAUACCGUAUAACAAUAGCAACCGCAUGGUUGCUACUUAAAAGAUGGUUCUGCUAUCACUAAGAGAUGGUCCCGCGGUGCAUUAGUUAGUUGGUGAGGUAAUGGCUCACCAAGACGAUGAUGCAUAGCCGAGUUGAGAGACUGAUCGGCCACAAUGGGACUGAGACACGGCCCAUACUCCUACGGGAGGCAGCAGUAGGGAAUCUUCCACAAUGGGCGAAAGCCUGAUGGAGCAACGCCGCGUGUGUGAUGAAGGGUUUCGGCUCGUAAAACACUGUUGUAAGAGAAGAAUGACAUUGAGAGUAACUGUUCAAUGUGUGACGGUAUCUUACCAGAAAGGAACGGCUAAAUACGUGCCAGCAGCCGCGGUAAUACGUAUGUUCCAAGCGUUAUCCGGAUUUAUUGGGCGUAAAGCGAGCGCAGACGGUUAUUUAAGUCUGAAGUGAAAGCCCUCAGCUCAACUGAGGAAUUGCUUUGGAAACUGGAUGACUUGAGUGCAGUAGAGGAAAGUGGAACUCCAUGUGUAGCGGUGAAAUGCGUAGAUAUAUGGAAGAACACCAGUGGCGAAGGCGGCUUUCUGGACUGUAACUGACGUUGAGGCUCGAAAGUGUGGGUAGCAAACAGGAUUAGAUACCCUGGUAGUCCACACCGUAAACGAUGAGUGCUAGGUGUUUGAGGGUUUCCGCCCUUAAGUGCCGCAGCUAACGCAUUAAGCACUCCGCCUGGGGAGUACGACCGCAA